This 980-nucleotide ribosomal RNA is filed under the name Pseudomonas aeruginosa. RNAcentral's name for it is "bacterial LSU rRNA". It matches the Rfam family "Bacterial large subunit ribosomal RNA", at positions 1951 to 2925 of the family's 2925-position model. Lineage: Bacteria; Pseudomonadati; Pseudomonadota; Gammaproteobacteria; Pseudomonadales; Pseudomonadaceae. The record is from RNAcentral.
CUAAGGUAGCGAAAUUCCUUGUCGGGUAAGUUCCGACCUGCACGAAUGGCGUAACGAUGGCGGCGCUGUCUCCACCCGAGACUCAGUGAAAUUGAAAUCGCUGUGAAGAUGCAGUGUAUCCGCGGCUAGACGGAAAGACCCCGUGAACCUUUACUGUAGCUUUGCACUGGACUUUGAGCCUGCUUGUGUAGGAUAGGUGGGAGGCUUUGAAGCGUGGACGCCAGUUCGCGUGGAGCCAUCCUUGAAAUACCACCCUGGCAUGCUUGAGGUUCUAACUCUGGUCCGUAAUCCGGAUCGAGGACAGUGUAUGGUGGGCAGUUUGACUGGGGCGGUCUCCUCCUAAAGAGUAACGGAGGAGUACGAAGGUGCGCUCAGACCGGUCGGAAAUCGGUCGCAGAGUAUAAAGGCAAAAGCGCGCUUGACUGCGAGACAGACACGUCGAGCAGGUACGAAAGUAGGUCUUAGUGAUCCGGUGGUUCUGUAUGGAAGGGCCAUCGCUCAACGGAUAAAAGGUACUCCGGGGAUAACAGGCUGAUACCGCCCAAGAGUUCAUAUCGACGGCGGUGUUUGGCACCUCGAUGUCGGCUCAUCACAUCCUGGGGCUGAAGCCGGUCCCAAGGGUAUGGCUGUUCGCCAUUUAAAGUGGUACGCGAGCUGGGUUUAGAACGUCGUGAGACAGUUCGGUCCCUAUCUGCCGUGGACGUUUGAGAUUUGAGAGGGGCUGCUCCUAGUACGAGAGGACCGGAGUGGACGAACCUCUGGUGUUCCGGUUGUCACGCCAGUGGCAUUGCCGGGUAGCUAUGUUCGGAAAAGAUAACCGCUGAAAGCAUCUAAGCGGGAAACUUGCCUCAAGAUGAGAUCUCACUGGGAACUUGAUUCCCCUGAAGGGCCGUCGAAGACUACGACGUUGAUAGGCUGGGUGUGUAAGCGUUGUGAGGCGUUGAGCUAACCAGUACUAAUUGCCCGUGAGGCUUGACCAU